RNAcentral lists this ribosomal RNA (759 nucleotides) under uncultured cyanobacterium. Its description in RNAcentral is "bacterial SSU rRNA". It matches the Rfam family "Bacterial small subunit ribosomal RNA", at positions 28 to 829 of the family's 1533-position model. Lineage: Bacteria; Bacillati; Cyanobacteriota. The record is from RNAcentral.
GAUGAACGCUGGCGGUCUGCUUAACACAUGCAAGUCGAACGGAAUCUUUCGGGAUUUAGUGGCGGACGGGUGAGUAACGCGUGAGAAUCUGCCUUCAGGUUCGGGACAACAGUUGGAAACGGCUGCUAAUACCGGAUGUGCCGAGAGGUGAAAGCUUAAGUGCCUGGAGAUGAGCUCGCGUCUGAUUAGCUAGUAGGAGUGGUAACGGCACCCCUAGGCGACGAUCAGUAGCUGGUCUGAGAGGAUGAUCAGCCACACUGGGACUGAGACACGGCCCAGACUCCUACGGGAGGCAGCAGUGGGGAAUUUUCCGCAAUGGGCGCAAGCCUGACGGAGCAAGACCGCGUGAGGGAAGAAGGUCUGUGGAUUGUAAACCUCUUUUGAUAGGGAAGAAGACAGUGACGGUACCUAUCGAAUCAGCCUCGGCUAACUCCGUGCCAGCAGCCGCGGUAAUACGGAGGAGGCAAGCGUUAUCCGGAAUUAUUGGGCGUAAAGAGUCCGUAGGUGGGUAACCAAGUCAGCUGUUAAAUAGUGAAGCUUAACUUCAUAGAGGCGGCUGAAACUGGUGGUCUAGAGUGUGGUAGGGGUAGAGGGAAUUUCCAGUGUAGCGGUGAAAUGCGUAGAUAUUGGAAAGAACACCGGUGGCGAAAGCGCUCUACUGGGCCUGCACUGACACUGAGGGACGAAAGCUAGGGGAGCGAAAGGGAUUAGAUACCCCUGUAGUCCUAGCCGUAAACGAUGGAUACUAGGCGUUGCCCG